This 25-nucleotide microRNA is filed under the name Pteropus alecto (black flying fox). Its description in RNAcentral is "pal-miR-874-5p". Its record names the gene pal-miR-874-5p. The record is from miRBase by way of RNAcentral. Lineage: Eukaryota; Metazoa; Chordata; Mammalia; Chiroptera; Pteropodidae.
GCGGCCCCACGCACCAGGGUAAGAG